UACGUAGGGCGCAAGCGUUGUCCGGAAUUAUUGGGCGUAAAGAGCUCGUAGGUGGCUUGUCACGUCGGGUGUGAAAGCUUGGGGCUUAACUCCAGGUCUGCAUUCGAUACGGGCUGGCUAGAGGUAGGUAGGGGAGAACGAAUUCCUGGUGUAGCGGUGAAAUGCGCAGAUAUCAGGAGGAACACCGGUGGCGAAGGCGGUUCUCUGGGCAUUACCUGACGCUGAGGAGCGAAAGCGUGGGGAGCGAACAGG
RNAcentral lists this ribosomal RNA (252 nucleotides) under uncultured bacterium. RNAcentral describes it as "partial 16S ribosomal RNA". It matches the Rfam family "Bacterial small subunit ribosomal RNA", at positions 524 to 776 of the family's 1533-position model. The record is from RNAcentral.